GACGAACGCUGGCGGCGUGCCUAAUACAUGCAAGUCGAACGCUGAAGCGAGGAGCUUGCUCUUCUUGGAUGAGUUGCGAACGGGUGAGUAACGCGUAGGUAACCUGCCUUGUAGCGGGGGAUAACUAUUGGAAACGAUAGCUAAUACCGCAUAACAAUGGCUGACACAUGUCAUUUAUUUGAAAGGGGCAAUUGCUCCACUACAAGAUGGACCUGCGUUGUAUUAGCUAGUAGGUGAGGUAAUGGCUCACCUAGGCGACGAUACAUAGCCGACCUGAGAGGGUGAUCGGCCACACUGGGACUGAGACACGGCCCAGACUCCUACGGGAGGCAGCAGGAGGGAAUCUUCGGCAAUGGGGGCAACGCUGACCGAGCAACGCCGCGGGAGGGAAGAAGGGUUUCGGAUCGGAAAGCUCGGUUGUAAGUCAAGAACGGGUGUGAGAGUGGAAAGUUCACACUGUGACGGUAGCUUACCAGAAAGGGACGGCUAACUACGUG
RNAcentral lists this ribosomal RNA (497 nucleotides) under uncultured bacterium. RNAcentral's name for it is "partial 16S ribosomal RNA". It matches the Rfam family "Bacterial small subunit ribosomal RNA", at positions 28 to 507 of the family's 1533-position model. The record is from RNAcentral.